GUGCUCGCUUUGGCAGCACAUAUGCUAAAACUGGAACAAUACAGAGAAAAUAAGCAUGGCCCCUUUGCAAGGGUGACACACAAAUUUGUGAUGCAUUCCAUGUUUAA
Molecule: small nuclear RNA, 107 nt
Organism: Delphinapterus leucas (beluga whale)
Lineage: Eukaryota; Metazoa; Chordata; Mammalia; Artiodactyla; Monodontidae
Source: Ensembl